Molecule: long non-coding RNA, 4103 nt
Filed under: Brassica napus (rape)
Lineage: Eukaryota; Viridiplantae; Streptophyta; Magnoliopsida; Brassicales; Brassicaceae
Description: long non-coding RNA (BNAP_LNC013193)
Source: RNAcentral
AUUUCCGUUACAGAUCAGAUAAUAGAAUCAACGUUUAUGACCGCGGGUGUUCUAACAAUUUCCUUGAGACAUUUUGCUCGAAAGUGAAGCCCUCAAGGAACGACUUCAGAGCGUUCAUGAGAGAAGAACCUCCGAGGAAUAUCACAAUGGCUACCACAUGGGAAAGACCAGGAGAAGAAGAGGAAGGAAGUUCGGACUUGGAGGAAGGGCGUCAGAAAGUGGAAGACGAUCUUGACAUCGAUGAAGAUGUUAUGAAACUACAGCAGCGUUCUAAUGCAGAAGAAGGCAGCGAUCCAGCGCAUCACAUGGUCGAGGUUGACCAAAUGAGAGUUGGGUCUAGUGAGAGAGCACCAACUAUUCGAUCUGAAGUGAGGCACGGGAACUGGGGAGCAAGAAGUAGCGCACAAGAGGAUGUGGUUAGUGGUUCUUCGGUCAUCAGGGAGAGUAGAAGCUAUGCAGCUGCAGAGGAAGGACGGUGAUGGGUGAACAAUGGGAGUAAAAGAGGUUUUCUCUUUCUUACUGAACUUUAUUGUUUUAGUUUUUCAAUAUAUUACGGGUUUAGGCCCUCGUGGUUUGGUUUGAGAGUUGUGAACUUGAUGGUGGUUUGGGCAACUGUGAAUGAUUCCGUUUGGUCUGUACUCCGUUUAUCGGCCAGUUAUUGUUUUCAAGGGCUUGCCGCGUAUCAGUUGAGUAAGUUUAAGUAAGCUUGGGUAGAGCUCAAUACUAAGUAAAAUAGGUUACUCUCUCGGCUUAUCUUUUUUAUAGAUGUUUUUUGGGACAAACCAUUUGAGUAUUUGUAUUUUGUAGAAACUUGUUCCAAAUUGGAAAAAACACAAGCUAAAUUAAUAAAUAGACAAAAUUUGAAACCAGAUCAACGUUCUCAAGUUAUACUGCCAUUGUUGUAUUUAUAAGCCACAGUUACAAAAGCUAAAACCAAAAUCUGAUUCCCAACAAAAUUGUCGAAAGGAAUAAUUUUUUUUUCUGGCGACGAAAUGGCUUCUUCCUCUGAUUUUUUCAUCGUCUAAACUAUGGGAACCUUGUCACAAUUUCACUUAGCCCCACCAUCGGCCUUGAUCUACAGAGACUACAUCGAUGCCAACAGCCGACGAGUCAAAAAAAAAUCAUAAUAUUUAACCCACUAUUUUGUACUAUUAGAUUCAACACACUGGUGAUUCUAGUUCUAUGAUUCUUUUAUCAUAUUUAUUAUAAAUAUACAAUAAAUAAAUUAAAGAAAUACCUUCAAAUAAUAUUUAAAACUAUUAUUUGUCACAGAAUAACACAAGGAUUUUUUUUUCCAAAUUAGUAUUUAUUAAAAGGUAAAAAACAAAGAUACCUAUAUUUAUAACUGUAUGAUUAAUUAAUAUAAAAAUAGUUUUUGAAAGAAAUGUAACUGAUAAACUAUAUAUUAAAUAUGUAUAUAAAUUGCUUAAAAUACUCAAAAUUGGCUACCAUUUUUUUAAAAAUACACUCAAUCAAAAAUACUCUAAUAUUUGAAUUUAGGGUUUAAUGAUUAUUGUUUAGGGUUUAGUAUUUAUGGGGCUGGGUUAGGUUUAUAAAAUUUUGUAAAUAUUUUAUAAAGUGUUCAAAAACAUUUAUAAAUUAUUUAAAAGAGUUUUAUUUUUUAAUCACAAAUUUAAGGUAUUUAUGAAAAUAAUUAUUUUUGAAGGUAAACUUGAAAAAUGGUAUCGAACUUGUGAUAAAAUUGAAAUUCCCUAAAUAUAUUAUAUAUAUGUUUAGAUUUUAGUUAUUAUAGUUUAGAUUUUACUAUUUAAUAUAACUAGAUUAUGAUUUAUUUUUUUUCUUUGGUUAGUAAAUGUUAUUUUUAAGAUUAUGUUUGUGUGGGUUAGUUUUGUGAUAAUAACUUUUCUAGUGCUAUCUAUUUGUGUAAUAUAUGAAUCUACUCUAUAAAUCAAAGAUACUCUUAGCACUUCAUUAAUCUACCGUUGUAUUAAGACAUUUAUAGUAAUCCUAUAAUGAUGACAUAAUAAAAAGGUAAACAAAACUAUAAUGCUCUUCUAGGGAGACACACUCCAGAAACGAAACGCAUUUUGUGAGACAGAGAGGGGGAGAGAGAUCACCAUUCACUCCUCCACCUGGAUUUGCAUCGUACUUAGCCUGAAAUGAAAUGAAUCGACCAAGAAAGGUAGAGGAUCGUCCAAUUCGACAGAGAGUAGCGAAGAGUGUCUGAUCCCAUCGCUGAUUCUCAUGGCGGGACGGGUCUACGAAGCCUGGAAGGGAAGCAAUGUAAGGUUUUGAUAUUUAUAUAGUCUCUAUCUUCACUUUUCUGGAAUCUGCAUUAUUCGAAUUAUCUGCCUUUCUCCAGAAAUAUGAAUUUAGGGUUUGCCACCUUUUAUUGCCUUUAAUUCCCUAAUAACUUUCAGUUUUAUAAAUAUACUUUUAACUUCUUGUUAUCAUUUGCUUUCUAUUUCACUAUCCAAAGCAUGGACAUGAAUUUUAAAUAAAAUCAUAUUGUAUCAUCAUCAGCUCCUCUUUCAAUGCCUCUUUUGCAGAAGUUUUUAUUUGGUGGGAGAUUGAUAUUUGGGCCAGAUGCUUGGUCUCUUCCAUUUACCUUGUUGCUCAUCAUAACUCCAGUUACUUUGUUCUCUGUUUUUGUUGCAACACAUCUACGCCACGAGUUCUUCUCAAACACUGCAGGAGAUGCCAUCCUAGUAGUAGCCAUUCUGUUUACUCUUUUUGUAAGUCGCCCAUUUUAUAUUCCAUAUAUGUUGUCUUGUUUACACAUGUGUUUCCUGUUAACUUGGGAUAUUAAUCAUCUCUUUUGAGUGUUGCUUAUAUAAUUGCUGGUUUACUUAAAUUCAUACCACAUUAACUUAAGAAUCUAACCAAAAAAAAAAAAGAAUGAAAUUAGUCACACCACAACAACAUGUAUCUUGUGAUUUGUUGUCUUCUUUCUUCUAACUUAGAGGUGAAGUUAGAGGUAUUAUGUUUAACAAGCUAAACGUUGAAAGUUCUCACUUCCUUCUUUGUGUGGCUUUCUAGUGGGUAGGUUUAAUGUUCGUCCUUGGCACAUCACUUGUUUUGAUAGGUAUUGAUCCUCCUCUUCCUCACUUCUGCGCGAGAUCCUGGAAUCGUUCCAAGAAACUUGCAUCCGCCAGAGGAAGAACUAUGCUAUGAGGCUACUGUGUCAGCUGAUGGAAGACAAGCACCCACUGUUCAAAUUCCGAGGACGAAAGAAGUCAUGGUUUAUGGCGUUCCUGUUAGAGUUAAAUAUUGCGAUACAUGCAUGCUUUAUCGACCUCCUCGUUGUUCCCAUUGCUCCAUUUGCAACAACUGUGUUGAGCGUUUUGAUCACCAUUGUCCUUGGGUAGGCCAAUGCAUUGGAGUGGUAAGCUGAUUUAAAAGCACAUUAAACUUGGGAGAUAUACUUUUGAUUCUCUCUGGAGAUAUGGUUCUAUAUAAAGUUCAUAAUUUUCUAUGCGUGUUGACCAAACUGUUGACCCAUCUUGACAUUUUGUUUUUGUGUGUGUUGUAAUUGCAGAGAAACUAUAGGUUUUUCUUUAUGUUUGUUUCCUCUGCAACUCUUCUCUGCAUUUACGUGUUCUCCAUGUCGGCUUUAUACAUAAAGUUUCUCAUGAAUAACAAUCAAAGUACUGUGUGGAGAGCAAUGCGAGAAUCCCCUUGGUCUGUUAUGCUGAUGAUAUAUUCCUUUAUAUCCCUGUGGUUUGUUGGAGGGCUUACUGGUUUCCACUUAUAUCUCAUUAGCACAAACCAGGUUAGUUUUUUUUUUUUUUGCUUUAAUAGGGGGUUUUAUAAAUGUCUCAUCUGAUAGCUAACAUUGUGAUUCUGUUCAGACAACCUAUGAGAAUUUCCGUUACAGAUCAGAUAAUAGAAUCAACGUUUAUGACCGCGGGUGUUCUAACAAUUUCCUUGAGACAUUUUGCUCGAAAGUGAAGCCCUCAAGGAACGACUUCAGAGCGUUCAUGAGAGAAGAACCUCCGAGGAAUAUCACAAUGGCUACCACAUGGGAAAGACCAGGAGAAGAAGAGGAAGAAUGUUCGGACUUGGAGGAACAGCGUCAGAAAGUGGAAGACGAUCUUUACAUCGACGAAGAUGUUAUGAAACUACAGCAGCGUUCUAAUGCA